GAUGAACGCUGGCGGCGUGCCUAAUACAUGCAAGUCGAGCGAACAGACGAGGAGCUUGCUCCUCUGACGUUAGCGGCGGACGGGUGAGUAACACGUGGAUCACCUACCUAUAAGACUGGGAUAACUUCGGGAAACCGGAGCUAAUACCGGAUAAUAUAUUGAACCGCAUGGUUCAAUAGUGAAAGACGGUUUUGCUGUCACUUAUAGAUGGAUCCGCGCCGCAUUAGCUAGUUGGUAAGGUAACGGCUUACCAAGGCAACGAUGCGUAGCCGACCUGAGAGGGUGGUCGGCCACACUGGAACUGGGACACGGUCCAGACUCCUACGGGAGGCAGCAGUAGGGAAUCUGCCGCAAUGGGCGAAAGCCUGACGGAGCAACGCCGCGUGAGUGAUGAAGGUCUUCGGAUCGUAAAACUCUGUUAUUAGGGAAGAACAAAUGUGUAAGUAACUAUGCACGUCUUGACGGUAACUAAUCAGAAAGCCACGGCUAACUACGUG
RNAcentral lists this ribosomal RNA (497 nucleotides) under uncultured bacterium. RNAcentral describes it as "partial 16S ribosomal RNA". It matches the Rfam family "Bacterial small subunit ribosomal RNA", at positions 28 to 507 of the family's 1533-position model. The record is from RNAcentral.